RNAcentral lists this ribosomal RNA (253 nucleotides) under uncultured bacterium. Its description in RNAcentral is "partial 16S ribosomal RNA". It matches the Rfam family "Bacterial small subunit ribosomal RNA", at positions 524 to 776 of the family's 1533-position model. The record is from RNAcentral.
UACGUAGGUGGCAAGCGUUGUCCGGAAUUAUUGGGCGUAAAGCGCGCGCAGGCGGCCUCUUAAGUCUGAUGUGAAAGCCCCCGGCUCAACCGGGGAGGGCCAUUGGAAACUGGGAGGCUUGAGUAUAGGAGAGAAAGAGUGGAAUUCCGACGUGUAGCGGUGAAAUGCGUAGAGAUGUGGAGGAACACCAGUGGCGAAGGCGACUCUUUGGCCUAUAACUGACGCUGAGGCGCGAAGCGUGGGAGCAAACAGG